This 253-nucleotide ribosomal RNA is filed under the name uncultured bacterium. RNAcentral describes it as "partial 16S ribosomal RNA". It matches the Rfam family "Bacterial small subunit ribosomal RNA", at positions 524 to 776 of the family's 1533-position model. The record is from RNAcentral.
UACGAAGGGGGCGAGCGUUGUUCGGAUUUACUGGGCGUAAAGGGCGCGUAGGCGGCGCGACAAGUCGAGUGUGAAAGCCCCGGGCUCAACCUGGGAAUGGCGCUUGGGACUGUCGUGCUGGAGUUCGGGAGAGGAGAGUGGAAUUCCCAGUGUAGAGGUGAAAUUCGUAGAUAUUGGGAAGAACACCGGUGGCGAAGGCGGCUCUCUGGACCGAUACUGACGCUGAGGCGCGAAAGCGUGGGGAGCAAACAGG